CGGUUGAUCCUGCCGGACCCGACUGCUAUUUGGGUGAGGAUAAGCCAUGCGAGUCGAAGGGGAUACCUAAAUUUCCCAUGGCGAACUGCUCAGUAACACAUGAUCAACUUACCCUAUUGAGAAAGAUAACCUCGGGAAACUGAGGAUAAUAUUUCAUAGUUGAAUUGGCUUGGAAAAGUUUUUCAACAAAAGGGAUAGGGAAAAUGGUCUCUAUCCGCUAUAGGAUAGGAUCGUGUUCGAUUAUGGUAGUUGGUGAGGUAAAGGCUCACCAAGCCGAUAAUCGAUAGGGGCCGUGAGAGCAGGAGCCCCGAGAUGGGUAUUGAGACAACGACCCAGGCCUUACGAGGCGCAGCAGGUACGAAACCUCCACAAUACACGAAAGUGUGAUGGGCUUACCCAAAGUGUUCAUUAUUGAACUGUGGUAGGAGAGUAAUCUCCCCUACUAGAAAGGAGAGGGCAAGGCUGGUGCCAGCCGCCGCGGUAAAACCAGCUCUUCAAGUGGUCGGGAUAAUUAUUGGGCUUAAAGUGUCCGUAGCCGGUUUAGUAAGUUCCUGGUAAAAUCGGGUAGCUUAGCUAUCUGUAUGCUAGGAAUACUACUAUACUAGAGGGCGGGAGAGGUCUGAGGUACUACAGGGGUAGGGGUGAAAUCUUAUAAUCCUUGUAGGACCACCAGUGGCGAAGGCGUCAGACUGGAACGCGCCUGACGGUGAGGGACGAAAGCCAGGGGAGCGAACCGGAUUAGAUACCCGGGUAGUCCUGGCUGUAAACGAUGCAUACUAGGUGAUGGUACGGCUAUGAGCCAUAUCAGUGCCGUAGGGAAACCGUUAAGUGUGCCGCCUGGGAAGUACGGUCGCAAGGCUGAAACUUAAAGGAAUUGGCGGGAAGGGCGAAUU
Molecule: ribosomal RNA, 893 nt
Filed under: uncultured archaeon
Lineage: Archaea
Description: bacterial SSU rRNA
Rfam family: Archaeal small subunit ribosomal RNA
Source: RNAcentral